GGACUACAGGGGUAUCUAAUCCCGUUUGCUCCCCUAGCUUUCGUGUUUCAGAGUCAGGAAUUUUCCAGGAAGCCGCCUACGCCACCGGUGUUCCUCUUGAUAUCUACGCAUUUCACUGCUACACCAAGAAUUCCGCUUCCCCCUCCAAUCCUCUAGCCAGGCAGUAUCGAGCGCCAUUUCACUGUUAAGCAGUGAGAUUUCACACCCGACUUACCUGGCCUCCUACACACCCUUUACGCCCAAUGAAUCCGAACAACGCUCGGGACCUCUGUAUUACCGCGGCUGCUGGCAC
RNAcentral lists this ribosomal RNA (292 nucleotides) under uncultured bacterium. RNAcentral describes it as "partial 16S ribosomal RNA". The record is from RNAcentral. RNAcentral also lists the same sequence under 1 other name.